GGGGUAGCAGGACUAGCAAUAGUUGCUGACGACCGGCAAACGGGUGCGGAACACGUACACAACCUUCCUUUUAGUGGGGAAUAGCCCAGAGAAAUUUGGAUUAAUACCCCGUAACAUAGCGGUGUGGCAUCACACUGUUUAUUAUAGGUUUACCGCUAAGAGAUGGGUGUGCGGCUGAUUAGAUAGUUGGCGGGGUAACGGCCCACCAAGUCUACGAUCAGUAGCUGAUGUGAGAGCAUGAUCAGCCACACGGGCACUGAGACACGGGCCCGACUCCUACGGGAGGCAGCAGUAAGGAAUAUUGGACAAUGGACGCAAGUCUGAUCCAGCCAUGCCGCGUGAAGGAUGAAGGUCCUCUGGAUUGUAAACUUCUUUUAUAUGGGACGAAAAAAGGGAAUUCUUUCCCUCUUGACGGUACUGUAUGAAUAAGCACCGGCUAACUCCGUGCCAGCAGCCGCGGUAAUACGGAGGGUGCAAGCGUUAUCCGGAUUCACUGGGUUUAAAGGGUGCGUAGGCGGGAAUGUAAGUCAGUGGUGAAAUCCUAGAGCUUAACUCUGGAACUGCCAUUGAUACUAUAUUUCUUGAAUAUUGUGGAGGUUUGCGGAAUAUGUCAUGUAGCGGCGAAAUGCAUAGAUAUGACAUAGAACACCUAUUGCGAAGGCAGCAGGCUACACAUAUAUUGACGCUGAGGCACGAAAGCGUGGGGAUCAAACAGGAUUAGAUACCCUGGUAGUCCACGCCCUAAACGAUGAUUACUCGACAUACGCGAUAAACUGUGUGUGUCUGAGCGAAAGCAUUAAGUAAUCCACCUGGGGAGUACGACCGC
RNAcentral lists this ribosomal RNA (826 nucleotides) under uncultured Bacteroidota bacterium. Its description in RNAcentral is "bacterial SSU rRNA". It matches the Rfam family "Bacterial small subunit ribosomal RNA", at positions 66 to 889 of the family's 1533-position model. The record is from RNAcentral. Lineage: Bacteria; Pseudomonadati; Bacteroidota.